RNAcentral lists this long non-coding RNA (984 nucleotides) under Mustela putorius furo (domestic ferret). RNAcentral's name for it is "lncRNA (ENSMPUG00000026755.1)". The record is from RNAcentral. Lineage: Eukaryota; Metazoa; Chordata; Mammalia; Carnivora; Mustelidae.
CUCAUGACCCUGAGAUCAAGACCUGCUCUCAAGUCAAGAGUCAGAAACCUAACCAAGAAACGCUGAUAGGGCCGAUUAUGAAUGCUGCACUAUGGAGGGCGAACGCAGAUGGAAGCCAUCCUCUGUCUUCAAGGGCUCGGUGUGCUCCUUGGGAAGGCACAGACUUGGGUCCGGGGCACGUCCUCACUGGGGCCAGAGAACUCCGCCCGCACCUGCUGACCGUCUCGUGGGGAGUGCCUCCCCUCCUGCAGAGCCAGCGCCUGUCCUGGGCUCUGAGUGUGUCAUACGUGCGUCAUAGGGCACCUGGCCAACCUCACUGCUGCAUCUGUCCUCCUGGGGUGAGGCGACAGGGCCCCCUUGCUUUGGCAUGAAAAGGUACGUGCAGGUUUCUGCCCAACACCAGCAGUCAGGAGGGACCCAGGGCCACGGGGUCAGACACCCACCACUGAAGUGGAUCCUGUGAAGCCUCUUCUCUGGGGGGGGGGCACGGCAUCCCAGCCAAGAGGCCGCGGGCACAAGCACAUGGAGCUCCGCGCCUGGUGACCGGUCUCACCCUGGAGAGCCCUCGGUGGAGGGGCUGGCAUGAGUAGGGAAUGGAGGAAGGCCAGGAGCUAGAAUACAUCAGGUCAUGUCCAAGGAAGCCGUACAUCACUGGCGGCAGUUCGAGACUCCCAGCCCGGUUGUAGGGUACGUGGAAAUGCUUUUACUUCCCCUAUUCAGUAAGUUCCGGGUCCAUAAAUUCCCUGGCACUGUCGCUGGUAUGGAAAUGAGAAACUCUCGACCAGCAUAGUUGAUAUGCACUCAAGAUUCUGAAGUCUGAUCUGAAGCAUGGCACGAACAUCGUAAGCAUUCAACCUAUCUCCCCUGGAUCAUGAAUUUAGAUCAGGAACCUCGGUCCAUGGGAUGGAGUUGUCUGGAGGCUCAGAAGGAAGGAAGCUGGGCGGUUUGCUUCACACUCACCCAGAGCCCAAGGCGCCUCUAGAC